Long non-coding RNA from Leucoraja erinaceus (little skate), 3724 nucleotides. RefSeq lists it as uncharacterized. The record is from RefSeq and is a predicted model, not a curated record. Lineage: Eukaryota; Metazoa; Chordata; Chondrichthyes; Rajiformes; Rajidae. The transcript has 2 exons.
CUCCCCUCAUUGGCUCGCCGUCCCGCUGACGUCACCGCCCACGCGUCAUGGGUGGCGACGGACCUAGGGAGCGCGCCUGCGCAUGCGCGGCCCGGCGGCUAGCAUCUUUGCCCAUGUGAGUCAUGGGGCCAUUCGGCCCAUUGAGUCUCCUCAGCAGAACUUUUUUUAUCAAUGCCACAUUUGCAAAAUGCAAACACGCAAUGAAAUAUACUCAUCAGUCAUAGGAGCAGAAUUAGGCCGUUCAGCCCAAAGAUCCUAUAGUAUAGGAUCUUUGGUUCAGCCCAUCAAGUCUGCUCCGCCCACCUUUCAAUCAUGGCUGAUCUUUCUCUCCCUCCUAACCCCGUUCUCCUGCCUUCUCCCCACAACCACCGACACCCGUACUAAUCAAGAAUCUAUCUAGCUCUGCCUUAAAUAUAUCCACUGACUUGGCCUCCACAGCCUUCUGUGGCAACGAAUUCCACAGAUUCACCACCCUCUGACUAAAGAAAUUUCUCCUCAUCUCCCUUCUAAAGACUGGGGACUUUGGACUUCCUACAAGAUAUGAGUGCAAGGGUGCAAACGUGCCAGGAUCUCGACCCGAAAUGUCACGCAUUCCUUCUCUCCAGAGAUGCUGCCUGUCCCGCUGAGCUGCUCCAGCAUUUUGUGUCUACUAAAGAUGGCAUGCUUGCUGAAAUUCUCAAACUUGGCAGAAAGUGAUUUCUGGGAUAACUUUACCACCUCCUGGAUGAGGAUGACAACAGGAAAAUAGUCAAUGAAAUCGUCUUCAAGAGCCAAAUCCAAUUGGGCCAACUACAAUACGAUGUCUGUUCCCGGCUAUGCCAGAGAGCUAUAACAUAAUUGUGGGAUAGAUCUUGUCCAUCAGACAUAAUGUCAUUGGAUCUUCAUUGUGUGCCAGCACUCAAUUUCCAUUUCAAGCUUAUUUCCAUCUGAAGGGUUCAGGACAAAUCCCCUGUAGGUUUGUAUGGGCAAGCUGAGCAGUCUCUGGGCAGGAGGUGGAGCUUUAAGUUGUUAAUGAAGUCCUGCAGUCAUUAAUUACAGGGCCUCCAUGACCCCAUCAUUAGUGGAUUAUUCAGUUGACCUACAAUGACUGCACAUAUCUUGCCUUGCUCUGUUGAAAGUGAAGUCAAUCUUUUGCCUGAUUUUGAAUGACCUUACACAAAAGAUGCUUCCUUAUAUUUACAGCUAUCUGCUCCAUUAAUCAACAAGCACAAAAGGCACAAAUAAGCGUACUAAUAAAGCAUGAAGUAUGACAUUAGGCCCCUCAAACCCUCCCCGCUAUUAAAGAUCAUAAGAUGGUCUUGACGCUGGGUUUCGACCCCAAAUAUCAACAGUUGCUUCCCCCUCUACAGCUGCUGCUCAACCUACUGAUUUUUUCCAGUGGAUUAUUUGUUGCUCUACAUUGUAACACCUGUAGUCUCUUGUGUCUUCUUUACAAAGAUCGUGGCUGGUUUGUUUAUCGUCCACAUAUUGUCACCUAUCCAUGAUAAUCUUUCACUCCCUUGCUUAUCAUGUGAUAACUUCUGCCUUAAAAAAUAUUCACAAGGCCCUGCCUUUGAAAAGGUUCCACUCUCAACACUCUUGUAGAAUAAAAACCUCAACUCUGCGUAAAAUAGUCAAGCACUUAUUUUUAGACAAUGGUCCGUGGUUCAAUUAUCUCCCACAAGAGGCACCAACCUCUCAAUAUCCACACAUGAUCCCUCUGGAUCUUAUGUUUCAACUCUCACUCUUCGAAACUCCAGCAGAUUCAUCUCAAUCUUGUCUAAAGGGCCUGUCCCACUUGGGCGUCAUUUGCGCGUCAUGCAGGUGGCGCGUGAGGAUUUUGAGCAUCCCAAAAUCCUGGGACGCCGCACGCUACUGCAUUAGCCACCACGCCUCAACACACACCUUCCGCGUGUCAUGAUGCGCCAACCAAUUUUUAGGAUGUCGCGUAAAUGACGCACAAAUUACGCCCAAAUGGGACAGGCCCUUUACCUCUCUUCACAAUACAACUCUCCCAUUACAUCCCAUUUACACCUCAGCGGUAUGAACAUUGACUUCUCUAACUUCAAGUAGCCCUUGCUUUCCCUGUCUCUUCAUCGCCCCCCCCCCCUUCCCAGUUCUCCUACUAGUCUUACUGCCUCAUUUAAUCUCUGUACCGCUCACUCCCCUGACAUCAGUCUGUGGAAAGGUCUCAAUCUCAACCCGAAACGUCACCUAUUCCUUCUCUCCAGAGAUGCUGCCUGUCCCGCUGAGUUACUCCAGUAUUUUGUGCCUGCCUACCUCCCAUUACAGAACUUGAUUUCACUUCAGACAUUUGAUUGCAAAACACUGCUUAUUUCAGGAAGAUGAAUUUUAAAUGAAAACCAGGUUCAAGAGCAGCUACUUCCCAACAACUGUCAGGCUCUUGAACACUAACCACAGCAACAAUGUGUUGUUUUGUUUACAGACGUGUUACUCUGCAGCAAGUAAGAAUCUCAAUGUUCCGCUGUUGAUACAUACUAUUUAAGUCUCGCUCUCUCUCUCUAUCCCUCACUUAUCAUUUGUACCAUUCUAGACUGAGUACUUUUGACUUCCUGGCAUAAGAAAUGCUUGUUCACCUGAUAUUUUCCCCGUUUCCAUAAAACCAGACAACAAAAGAUUUAAUUUCCCACUCCAGGUGUUGGUCUUGCAAAGCUAUGAACUAAUGCAGAAUCUGGGUCGGAAGAAGGGUUUCGACCCGAAACGUUACCAAUUCCUUCUCUCCAGAGCCGCUGAGUUACUCCAGCAUUUUGUGUCGACCUGUGAACUUCUGAUGCAGUACCAUACUUUAAAUGAAAGAGGCCGACAAUGUAUGCAGUACUUUUGAUGAGAUUUCAGCAGUGCCCAAUAUAACUAAAGAUAGAGAAAUCAAGGAAAAGAAUUAGAAACAUAGAAACAUAGAAAUUAGGUGCAGGAGUAGGCCAUUCGGCCCAUUCAAUAUGAUCAUGGCUGAUCAUCCAACUCAGUACCCCGUACCUGCCUUCUCUCCAUACCCUCUGAUCCCCUUGGCCACAAGGGCCACAUCUAACUCCCUCUUAAAUAUAGCCAAUGAACUGGCCUCAACUACCCUCUGUGGCAGAGAGUUCAGGAUUCUCAGGAUUUAGGUUAUAAAAGUCUUCUGCCAAUGAUGAAAGAGUUGGGGGAAGGGAGAUAAUUAAUUGGGACAAUUUCAGUGUUGCGGUAAUUGUCUACUAAUCAUGUUUGCUUACUUACAAAGGUUGUUUGACAAUGAUUGCUAUACAUUGUGCAAUAAUGUUUUGGGGCCAAAACUGAAAUUUUUUUGGACCAAUCAACAUUUUUUUUUUAAUCUUUCAAAAACCUAGCAAAGUUAAUAAUGAACAAGUUGCAUAUACAAUAUAACAUUUAUUCUGAUUAUACAACCUCAAAAUAUACAGUUUUACAAUUGACUUCUACAGUUUGAUGAAAAAUAACUGACCUUUUAGAGCAGAUUUAAAGUAAAGGUGUGAAUACGUAUGUACUAUGAGUACUUUCAAUACUGCCCAUUAAAUAGACAACAUAAAAAAUGAGAGCAAUGUCAGAACACUUGCUGACUCAUUCAAAACCUGGUAUUCUUGGUUACUAAGGUUAGAAAUGGCAAAAAAACAAGUGAAAGGAUUCAAUGCUGUUAUUUGAAUACUACAUCACAUCAUCUAUUUGCAAUAAUAAAAGAAAGCCUUUAAACUAUUUAGGCCGGCUUACGAUGCAAUGUUCAAAUAUUCAAAAAUAA